RNAcentral lists this ribosomal RNA (253 nucleotides) under uncultured bacterium. RNAcentral's name for it is "partial 16S ribosomal RNA". It matches the Rfam family "Bacterial small subunit ribosomal RNA", at positions 524 to 776 of the family's 1533-position model. The record is from RNAcentral.
UACAGAGGGGGCAAGCGUUAUUCGGAAUUAUUGGGCGUAAAGGGCGCGUAGGCGGCCUGACAAGUGGAAGGUGAAAUCCCUCGGCUUAACCGAGGAACUGCCCUCCAAACUGUUUGGCUUGAGUCCGGGAGAGGUGAGUGGAAUUCCCAGUGUAGCGGUGAAAUGCGUAGAUAUUGGGAGGAACACCAGUGGCGAAGGCGGCAUCCUGGACCGAUACUGACGCUGAGGAGCGAAAGCCAGGGGAGCAAACGGG